This 469-nucleotide ribosomal RNA is filed under the name Neonectria neomacrospora. RNAcentral's name for it is "SSU rRNA". It matches the Rfam family "Eukaryotic small subunit ribosomal RNA", at positions 87 to 559 of the family's 1831-position model. The record is from RNAcentral. Lineage: Eukaryota; Fungi; Ascomycota; Sordariomycetes; Hypocreales; Nectriaceae.
CUGCGAAUGGCUCAUUAUAUAAGUUAUCGUUUAUUUGAUAGUACCUUACUACUUGGAUAACCGUGGUAAUUCUAGAGCUAAUACAUGCUAAAAAUCCCGACUUCGGAAGGGAUGUAUUUAUUAGAUUAAAAACCAAUGCCCUCCGGGGCUCCUUGGUGAUUCAUGAUAACUCCUCGAAUCGCACGGCCUUGCGCCGGCGAUGGUUCAUUCAAAUUUCUUCCCUAUCAACUUUCGAUGUUUGGGUAUUGGCCAAACAUGGUUGCAACGGGUAACGGAGGGUUAGGGCUCGACCCCGGAGAAGGAGCCUGAGAAACGGCUACUACAUCCAAGGAAGGCAGCAGGCGCGCAAAUUACCCAAUCCCGACACGGGGAGGUAGUGACAAUAAAUACUGAUACAGGGCUCUUUUGGGUCUUGUAAUUGGAAUGAGUACAAUUUAAAUCCCUUAACGAGGAACAAUUGGAGGGCAAG